AUGUUCUCCUCGCAGUCGCUUAGUCGCGUCAACAACAUCAGAACCUCUCUGGUGAAUGCCCAGAAGGGCAACAAGACCGUCGCCACCUACUUCGCCGAGAUGCGCGGCUUCGCCGAUGAGCUGGCCGCCGCCAGGAAGCCUCUCCAGGAUGAUGAACUUAUCUCCUACAUCCUGCAAGGCCUCGACAUGGACUACCAGCCACUCGUCUCCGCCCUCGAUGCCCGCAUCACCCCGGUAUCCAUCGAUGAGCUUUUUCAAUGCUUAGCAACUUUGAUCAGAGGGUGGUGCAGUACCAGGGAUCGGGCGGCUUCAAGUCGUCGGCUAACGCCGUGA
RNAcentral lists this ribosomal RNA (333 nucleotides) under Triticum aestivum (bread wheat). RNAcentral's name for it is "partial small subunit ribosomal RNA". The record is from RNAcentral. Lineage: Eukaryota; Viridiplantae; Streptophyta; Magnoliopsida; Poales; Poaceae.